AAAGUGGCAUAUGCCACAGCAAUGGAUUGGUUCAUUGCAGUAUGUUAUGCAUUU
This 54-nucleotide non-coding RNA is filed under the name Pelobates cultripes (western spadefoot toad). It matches the Rfam family "Editing element of GABA-3 exon 9". Lineage: Eukaryota; Metazoa; Chordata; Amphibia; Anura; Pelobatidae. The record is from RNAcentral.